RNAcentral lists this ribosomal RNA (469 nucleotides) under uncultured bacterium. Its description in RNAcentral is "partial 16S ribosomal RNA". It matches the Rfam family "Bacterial small subunit ribosomal RNA", at positions 28 to 507 of the family's 1533-position model. The record is from RNAcentral.
GAUGAACGCUGGCGGCGUGCUUAACACAUGCAAGUCGAACGGUGAAGCUCCAGCUUGCUGGAGUGGAUCAGUGGCGAACGGGUGAGUAACACGUGAGCAACCUGCCCCUGACUCUGGGAUAACAGCCGGAAACGGCUGCUAAUACCGGAUAUGCACCAUGAACGCAUGUUCUGUGGUGGGAAAGAUUUUUCGGUUGGGGAUGGGCUCGCGGCCUAUCAGCUUGUUGGUGAGGUAAUGGCUCACCAAGGCGUCGACGGGUAGCCGGCCUGAGAGGGUGACCGGCCACACUGGGACUGAGACACGGCCCAGUCUCCUACGGGAGGCAGCAGUGGGGAAUAUUGCACAAUGGGCGAAAGCCUGAUGCAGCAACGCCGCGUGAGGGAUGACGGCCUUCGGGUUGUAAACCUCUUUUAGCAGGGAAGAAGCGAGAGUGACGGUACCUGCAGAAAAAGCGCCGGCUAACUACGUG